UGCCAGGUCUCCUUUUAGGUGCUGCAGGAGUGACUCUUACUAAUGAAGGUGUUCCCCACGGCUGACACCCGUUAGCCGGCCGCACGUGACGUUUCUCUAUCGAUUGCAGUCAGAAGAUUAAUGGUGGCUUCGGCGGCCGAGAAACUGUUGUGACUUUGAAACGGCGCGGAUAUAAAUAAGUCAUGCGGGGUGACGGGGACUUUGGAGCAGCUCUUUUUCCAGAUGCAUAAUGGACUGGCGUUUUUGGAAACGAUCCUCACUGUCCUCGAAAAGCCAGGCUUCAGAAGGAUCACACAACGCAGAACUUCCAACCAGGGAAAUAUGAUCACUAACGCUGUAAUGAAACUAACCGUAAUCAAGAAGAAGAACAACAACAAAAACAUGUACAAACAAACAAAAUCCCGGAAUUUAUGAUUGAUUAUGAUUAUUAAAAACGCCCAUUUGUUGUUGUAGCUGAUUUUAUUCUUAACCACUUCACAUCGGAAAGGAUGUUUGUGUUUUUUCGCGGUAUGUAACAGGUCUCUGUUUAUACGAAUGUUCAAGAUGUAUCAGUGUUCAGUGUUAAAUAUGGGGUCUUCCGAAUACCACUUCGCGUGCAUUCAUUUAAAUAUUUGUUAACAAUAGUAAUUGGAACGUUCAUGCAUGCCUAAUGGGUUGAAUGGCCCUGUUCAAUUGUAACACAAGUCACGAGACGAGAAAAAUGUUUGAAAUACAUUAAGGUAUAGGCUACAUCUGUCAUCUCAUAUAUUAGAAACAUUAUGUAAGGUCUUGAAAACAAAGCCAUUUGAAUUAUGUAAGAAAUAUUUCUUAAAUUUCAGUUCCGUAUUCAUAAAACUCCUGGGCAUCAGGGUUGGCCAGAACUUGCUUUGAAAACAUCUGGUUUAGACAUUAGAAACACAUCGGCGCUUUUGCCCUGUGCCAGAAGAUUUCACAACAUGAGCACAGCGAACCAGUUCACCCCGACCAUAAAUCAGUUUGGUUACGCGGCUGCACCAUGCACCUGGAGGUUUGGUCAGCAGUCUUCCAUGCUGGAAAUGAGUAUGCAUAAUGACAUAUACUGUAGCGGAUUGAGCUACCUCUCGCUAUCUCCCUAAGGAGUUUGCGCCCGAUGUGGAUAAGAUCAUUGCUUUUUGUGUGCCUGACCCAUUUUCGAAAUAAAUGCUUUGAACUUAAGUCAUACAUAUAUACACAUGGUAUAUAGAAAGCAUUCACAAUAUCGACAUACAGACAUAAGGAGUGCAUCAGCAGUGUGCCAUGUGGCUCAGCCUCAGCUGUGCCUGUAAUUGCAAAGCCGCUAGUUCACAUCCCGCGGUCAGUAGUCAUUUCAUUGGUGAGUCCUUCAGCAAGACCUUUGACCCCCAAUUGCUCCGGGGACUAUCAGACCCCGCUGUCUCAAGUGCAUGUUUCUUUGGGUAAAAGCGUCUGCUAAAUGAGUAAAUGCAUACCUCUGCAGAAAAAGUGCUGAAAAAGACUUAUAUCAGGGUUCAAAAGAUGGAUUCUUCUGUACUGGGCUGAGUUUGAGUGCUUUCAGACUGUGUGGCCACAAGCACAUCAGGAAACUUGAAGAUGGACAGCUGGUAUCGGGGUGGUCGAGAGACCGAAACAAGGGGGGUUGGGAUAUUGCUGUCAUAGCCCUUAAUGGGGCUCUUUACAUAAAUUCUUCUGGCAAAAUAUGCAUAAUAUGCAGCCGCAUAAUAUGGAGAAAAUGUAAAACGGCAAGAUAUUUCAUUUGCAUUGUAUGAAGUAUGUAAACAGUUAAAACACGGCCAAGCCUAUAGGCUAUGUAAAUGUGCAGUUCUGCAUAGUGUUUUUCUGAUGCAACGCUUUGCAAUAAGUUUAAUAAGAAAGGAUUCUAUAAAAAAAAAAAGCCAGCAGUGAUGU
Molecule: long non-coding RNA, 1881 nt
Organism: Paramormyrops kingsleyae
Lineage: Eukaryota; Metazoa; Chordata; Actinopteri; Osteoglossiformes; Mormyridae
Source: RefSeq, a predicted model, not a curated record